UGCCGCGGUGUCAGUAGCUGUUGCCGCGGUGUCAGUAGCUGUUGCCGCGGUGUCAGUAGCUGUUGCCGCGGUGUCAGUAGCUGUUGCCGCGGUGUCAAUGGCUAUUUGGUGUCAGAAGUAAGGACCAGCUCUUUGGGUGCUGUAUUCCUCAAAUAAAUGUUUAUUUGUCAAGUACACGGUUUACAGGUGUAAAAGGUGCAGUGAAAAUGCUUGUGUGCCAUUUCCCUUUAACAGUGCAGUACAAUUAUCAAUCAUCAGUCAAUAAAUGUCCACUUAGCACGACCAAGGGGACAGCUAGCUAUAGGAGAGGGUGUGUCAAUGCAAUCAGAACCCUAUAGUCAUACAGGCUCUAUCAAUCAAUACUGAUAGUCAGUUCUCAGUUCUGUGGUCAAUAAACCCACGAGAGUCAUCAGCUUCAUCACUAUGAUGAGGAGUUUCCUAUCUCAGUACAACAACUUUUUAUUGUUGUUCAUUUCCUUCUUCUUUAUCCUUUUUCUUCUCCUCUGUUUAUUUUCUGGGUGUGUCCAUAUUAGACAUUGAUUGGCCAGUGUGUUUUCUGAGGAGAAAAGAGAACACAAUUAGCCAUAGAAAAGAAGCCCUGGAUAGAUCUCCUGUUUCCAGAGGGACAGGUAUAGAACCUUUCUCCUGGUGACAGGAUAGCACGGCUUGCCAAUAUUCACACGUCCUCUGGCCCUUCCAUUGACGUGGGGAGCCUCUAAUGAAUGGAUUGGCAUGCCCGUCACUGUUGCGCUGACGGUUGCUUCCAUUGGCUGGAUCAACCUUUGGCCCCAUCUCUUCUACAGUCUGACUGAUCCCAGAUUAACCACUGCUGUGGGAUGGGGAAUGGGCAGAAUGGGGAGGACAAUUUCAUGUUUUUGUGUGUCUCUUGCUCUCUGCUCUCUCCUCCUGUCAGUAAUGGGGAAUGUUAGUAAUUGCUUGUUUUGCAGGUGUGUAUGUGAGGGCUGAUGUGAUGUUUUUAAUGUGUGUAGUGUAUGAUAUUGAUUCUAAAUACUAAAGUCUGUCUCCUCCAGGCGUUUUGAGGUGAGUCCAGUGUGUGCUGAUCUGCAGGGUCAGAUCCUGAAGUGCUACCAGGAACACAGUGGGAAGACUCUGCUCUGCUCCACCAUCGCCUCCCGCUACCUGCAGUGUGUCAACCAAGCUAAACAGAACAAGUUGAGGACUGGGGGCUAAGCGGGAGGUGCUGUGGCAUUACGGUUUACCAACCCUUUAUCGACUGCAAAUGAGUGGAGAGGAGAGUAAGCACCAGAGAUCGCAACCCCGACUCGAGGUAGAAUCAGAACCGCAACCUGACCAGAACCAGGAACACAAGAAAACCAGACAACCCUGAGAGAGAGAUGGACACCCCUUAGCCCAACACCCUUCUCCCCCCACCCCCACUGACCCCCAACACCCUUUACUCCUUCGUAAGAUCCCACCUACGGUACCUGCACCCCUUCUCCCCCACCCCACUCCACUGCAUGUCUAUCUCUACUACCAAGAGGGAGGAGGACAACGGUAGCACUUCCUAAAGAGUACAGCGCAGUAGCUCCAUCACGCAGCAGCAGUAGAAGAAUUGCAGCUGUCCGCCAUGUUGGAGACGCAUGAAUACAUGCAGAGACGGAGAGUUUAAGUCUAGGCGGAGUCCACCAGAACCAAUGCAGGCCCAGAGCUGAAGAUAUCCUCACGGACUGAACCACCAUCAUUACCAACACGCACCACCACCCAACCAGCUCACCCCUCUUACAAAGCCACUAGUCCGCCCCAUCACCACACCCUCUAUCAUAAACCUACAUGAUCACAUGACUUCUAUCCACAAGGCUUCACCCUGCUGUAUCCCUCUAUCCACUAUAUAAACCUACAUGAUCACAUGACUUCUAUCCACCAGGCUUCACCCUGCUGUAUCCCUCUAUCCACUAUAUAAACCUACAUGAUCACAUGACUUCUAUCCACCAGGCUUCACCCUGCUGUAUCCCUCUAUCCCUGUGCACUGUCCUGCACACACCAUUGUGUUAGUAAUGCAUCUAGUUGUCCUGCACACACACCAUUGUGUUAGUAAUGCAUCUGCUUGUUUUGUUUUCAUCCUAACCGUGUCAAAAUCACGUCUGAUCAGAGGAAAUUAAAGAAUGAUACCGGAAUUGA
This is a long non-coding RNA of Salvelinus fontinalis (brook trout), 2139 nucleotides long. RefSeq lists it as uncharacterized. NCBI's taxonomy places the organism in Eukaryota, Metazoa, Chordata, Actinopteri, Salmoniformes, Salmonidae. The record is from RefSeq and is a predicted model, not a curated record. The transcript has 2 exons.